RNAcentral lists this ribosomal RNA (493 nucleotides) under uncultured bacterium. Its description in RNAcentral is "partial 16S ribosomal RNA". It matches the Rfam family "Bacterial small subunit ribosomal RNA", at positions 29 to 507 of the family's 1533-position model. The record is from RNAcentral.
AACGAACGCUGGCGGCGCGUCUUAAACAUGCAAGUCGAACGGCACGAAGGGGCUUGCCCCUUCUGAGAGUGGGGGACUGGGGUGUAACACGUGGGUGACAUACCAUUUCGUAGGGGCUAGCUAUCUGAAAUAGUCGGUAUUAAGGAAUGUGGGCGUACCUGUUGGAGGGGUAUGCGGACAGGACCUAAGGCUUCGCUGAAAGAAUGGCUCGCGGCCCAUUAUGGUCGUUGGUAAGGUCACGGCCCACCAAGGCGACGAUGGGUAUCCGGAGUGCGAGGGUGAACGCACACAUUAGGACGGAUACACGGCCCAGACUACUGCGGGAGGCAGCAGUUAAGAAUAUGCCGCAAUGGAGGAAAGUCUGACGGAGCGACGCCGCGUGGAUGGAGAAGGCCGAAAGGUGGUAAGAUCCUUUUAAGCCUGAUGAACAAGCACAGAAGGGGAUGAUCGUGCGGUGACCGUAGUGCGUGAAUAAGCACCGGCUAAAUACGUG